GCCACAAAGAAGCCAGAAAAUCACACUUCUCUCCUACUACCACCUGCUGCAUGUUCAUUACCUCACUGCAGAAGUACUGGGAACAUGGCUGAGACCUGUUCUGUGUCCUCUACACGAGAGAGGUUGGCUAUGUUGCAAAACCUGAGGAUGAAGGCAACAGGGCAAGAGAGCUUGGAGAGAGGAAUGCCUUUUUUGGAGUAAUGAAACUUCCGGGGUCC
Molecule: long non-coding RNA, 218 nt
Filed under: Fukomys damarensis (Damara mole-rat)
Lineage: Eukaryota; Metazoa; Chordata; Mammalia; Rodentia; Bathyergidae
Description: lncRNA (ENSFDAG00000032307.1)
Source: RNAcentral